This 289-nucleotide long non-coding RNA is filed under the name Lactuca sativa (garden lettuce). RNAcentral describes it as "long non-coding RNA (LSAT_LNC009511)". Lineage: Eukaryota; Viridiplantae; Streptophyta; Magnoliopsida; Asterales; Asteraceae. The record is from RNAcentral.
UUCUCCCUAACCCACAAGUUCUUGAAAAGUUUAAGGUCACUCAGGCCCUAUUAGNCCUCCUCCAAUUAUUCUCCCUAACCCACAAGUUCUUGAAAAUUUUAAGGUCACUCAAGCCCUAUUGGCAAGCAAAGGUCUAUGUGUGAUCACAUCUUGGAGAUGUAGUCACAUAUUGACAAGUCGGGAGAGUUGGGUGUCAAAGUCUUGUGAAAGUUGGUGGUUCAAUCACUUUCAAAGUCACAUAGUGAGUUCCUUUGGGACUCCUAUGAAACAAACUAUGACAAGACCCUUA